UGCCAUGAGCAGGUCAGUCAUUGUUUGCAUUUGCAAGGGAAGCCUAAAUGGUGACUUUGUUACAGCAGUCGUUAUUAUUAGGAUGUCCAGGCAGAUAGCAGCAGUGAAGGCCCAGUGUGCCAGGUGAGCAGUGGACAGAAGCAGUUCUUCUUGCUCAGGUCUCAAUGUUUGGUGCAACUCUAAGCAUCCAUUCUUGUUUUUGUGCUUUAGGGAAUCAUCUCAGUGUGUGCAUACCUCUGUCACCAACUGGCUGAUGGACCAGGUUUCAUGCACUUGUGAUCUCGCUGGAAGCAUUGCCGGACCCUGUGAUGGACCUCCCAGUUUUGCUUUUCAAGGCCCCAUCCUGGUAGCCCAGAGGAAUGGCUGAGGAGUUGCAGUGUACCCUGCAAUGACGGCGUCAGAAUCCAAUCACGCCCGACGCGUGCAGGCCAAGAACCCGGGCAUUCUGAGGAGGAUGACCAAGAGGUGACAGCUGGAACGUAGCAGGCAGACAGGGAGAUGCCCUUCUUCUGCAGCCAACAGGGAUUUGCAUCCCCAGAUGAGUGCAAGAUAAGUGGAAGAUGCAGACAGUUCAAAUCAGUGGCAGAGAGCCCCAGUCCUGGCUGAGGGUGUUGCCAUGAGCAGGUCAGUCAUUGUUUGCAUUUGCAGGGGAAGCCUAAAUGGUGACUUUGUUACAGCAGUCUUUAUUCUUAGGAGGUCCAGGCAGAUAGCAGCAGUCAAGGCCCAAUGUCCAAGGGGACCAGUGGACAGAAGCAGUUGUUUUUACUCAGCUUUCAGUUUCUGGUGCGAUUCUAAGCAUCCUUUCUCAUUU
Non-coding RNA from Taeniopygia guttata (zebra finch), 811 nucleotides. NCBI's taxonomy places the organism in Eukaryota, Metazoa, Chordata, Aves, Passeriformes, Estrildidae. The record is from RefSeq and is a predicted model, not a curated record.